AUGAGGUGAUGAACUCCUGGAUGAGUGGACAGAGGUGCUGUGCUGAUUGUCAUGUUCUGAUCUG
Nycticebus coucang (slow loris) is the source of this 64-nucleotide small nucleolar RNA. RefSeq annotates it as small nucleolar RNA SNORD43. Lineage: Eukaryota; Metazoa; Chordata; Mammalia; Primates; Lorisidae. The transcript has a single exon. The record is from RefSeq and is a predicted model, not a curated record.